Molecule: ribosomal RNA, 467 nt
Filed under: uncultured bacterium
Lineage: Bacteria
Description: partial 16S ribosomal RNA
Rfam family: Bacterial small subunit ribosomal RNA
Source: RNAcentral
ACGAACGCUGGCGGCGUGCUUAACACCUGCAAGUCGAACGGAAAGGCCCUGCUUUUGUGGGGUGCUCGAGUGGCGAACGGGUGAGUAACACGUGAGUAACCUGCCCUUGACUUUGGGGUAACUUCAGGAAACUGGGGCUAAUACCGGAUAGGAGCUCCUGCUGCAUGGUGGGGGUUGGAAAGUUUCGGCGGUUGGGGAUGGACUCGCGGCUUAUCAGCUUGUUGGUGGGGUAGUGGCUUACCAAGGCUUUGACGGGUAGCCGGCCUGAGAGGGUGACCGGCCACAUUGGGACUGAGAUACGGCCCAGACUCCUACGGGAGGCAGCAGUGGGGAAUAUUGCACAAUGGGCGGAAGCCUGAUGCAGCAACGCCGCGUGCGGGACGACGGCCUUCGGGUUGUAAACCGCUUUCGCCUGUGACGAAGCGUGAGUGACGGUAAUGGGUAAAGAAGCACCGGCUAACUACGUG